Non-coding RNA from Pelobates cultripes (western spadefoot toad), 1298 nucleotides. The record is from the annotation of a GenBank genome assembly. NCBI's taxonomy places the organism in Eukaryota, Metazoa, Chordata, Amphibia, Anura, Pelobatidae.
CUUUAACAUAGAAAUCACUUUUAUUAGAGGGAUUUACUUACAGAAUUUCAAGUGCUUAUUUUUACUUUACAAUGAAAACGUAAAUAUAUUACAGAACAUUCCCUUUAACAGUUUAAUAGUUUAGAAAAGAAAACCUCAGGUUUAUGUUAAUUUGUGGGAUUUAAUCUGUGUCAUGUAGAAACAUUCUCAUUAUAUGUUGCAUUCCACUUUUCAUUACUUGUUAAAGGGACUCUCCAGGCAGAGUAGUUUACUCACCUGGUUCCAGCGCCGGGAGCCUCGUGAAGUCGCGCCCCCUAUUUCGUCAAAAUGACGAAAUAGGCGGGCGCGAGCAGGGAGCAAUCAGACGCUUCCAUUUGGAAGCAUCAUUGCUCCCUUGUGCACAUACGUGGCUUCGCCGCACAUGCGCACAUACUUCAUAGGGCGGCAUUCAGAGGUAUUCCUAUCAAAAAUACAGUGUUUACAUUAGAUUGCCUGCAGGGAGCUAUUGAUCUCACCUGAACAAAUACAUUAAGCUGUAGUUGUUCAGGUGACUAUAGUGUCCCUUUAAGUAUCCUUCUGAUAGAAGCUGCCAUUAUUCAUUGUGUUCCUUGACUCAUUUCGCAUUCUUUUUAUGCUGUUGUGUAGUACAUGAAAAUGGCUGCCUACAUCAUGCCUCAGGAUGGAAAUCAAUGAAAUACCAAGCAUAUACAUUGAAUUUAUAUUCUUGUUAUUUAAUUGAAAUAAAGGAAAACUAACGUGUCAGGAAUGCAAACCUGUCUAUAGUGCCAUAUUUGCAGGUUUGUGUUAGAUACCAUCCCCACGUUUAUCCUAAAAAUCAUUAAAAAAUAUUUUUACGUUUCUUUACUCAAGAGCUGGGACUCCAUUGGCGCUACCAGCUGCUCUUCCUCCCACAACGUCGUCCAGCUGUCAAGACUAUGGCCAAUCAAAUGCUCAUCGUAAAGGCGUAUUAGAAACUGAUGUGCAUGCGUGAUGAGUUUCGCCCUUGUAUCCAAAAUCUUUACACAGGAAAGCAUUGAAUUCAGUGCUUUCCUAAGAGCUCCUAUGUCAUGUGACUGAGUUUAACUCGAUCAGCUACCAAAGGUGGAUUUAACCCAUGCAAGUUUCUAAAGAAUUUCUAUGAUUUACAGUGCAGGGUUAAAGACCACUGUAACCAGACCAUACGCCCCCUCAAUUAUUUUAUCCCAUAGGGAUGGUGCUGCCAGUUGCUAGUUUUAAACAUUUCAGAGAUAUGUUUAAAACCUCCCUUACAUUAUUAUGGGAGUCUCAUUGACCCCCAUAGGCCUUUUAAUGUAUUAAAC